Molecule: long non-coding RNA, 573 nt
Organism: Camelina sativa (false flax)
Lineage: Eukaryota; Viridiplantae; Streptophyta; Magnoliopsida; Brassicales; Brassicaceae
Source: RefSeq, a predicted model, not a curated record
CUACUGCUGAUGGAGAUGCAAUAAGGCACGUCAAGGGUUGGACUAAUCGUCUGAGCACGUCAAGGGUUGAAACUUAAAAGAGGAAAUAAUCUUAGAGGUUCUGUUCCUCAAUCCCUUCUGAAAAGAGAAAAACAUGAUGGUUUAAAGCUAUUUGUUGAUGCAAAUAUAAACCGGCGCGGGUCGAGCGAACCAAGAUCCUGGCUGGUGGCGAUUGUUGCGUCUAUAUCUUGUGCGGCGAGUAGGAAAAGUCAGAUCGAUCUUGAGAAUUCUGCAUACCAUUAAACAGACAACCUCAUCAGGAGCUGAGGUUUAAGUUUCUUCUGUCAUUUCCAACAAAGAUAAAAGUCUAGUCGGCUCCUUACCUCUUGAAUGUAUCUUUUUGACUCUCGGCUUCAAAUGGAGGAUGGCCAUAGAGAAAUUCGUAACACAAUAUGCCUAACGUCCAGUUAUCAACAUCAUAAUCGUGAUCUCUAUUCUCGACCAUCUCAGGUGCCAAGUAGUCUAAGGUUCCACACAUUGUUUUCCUUUUGUUACUUGACUGAACUGACCACCCAAAAUCAGCAAUUUUCAGUC